RNAcentral lists this ribosomal RNA (253 nucleotides) under uncultured bacterium. RNAcentral's name for it is "partial 16S ribosomal RNA". It matches the Rfam family "Bacterial small subunit ribosomal RNA", at positions 524 to 776 of the family's 1533-position model. The record is from RNAcentral.
AACGUAGGUUCCGAGCGUUAUCCGGAUUUACUGGGCGUAAAGCGCGUUCAGGCGGUUCGGCAAGUCGGGCAUGAAAUCUCUCGGCUCAACCGGGAGAGGUUGUCCGAUACUGCUGGACUUGAGGGCAGUAGAGGGUGGUGGAAUUCCGGGUGUAGUGGUGAAAUGCGUAGAUAUCCGGAGGAACACCAGUGGCGAAAGCGGCCACCUGGACUGUACCUGACGCUCAAACGCGAAAGCUAGGGGAGCGAACGGG